AAAAAGGUCAGCUAAGUUUAAGCUAAUGGGCUCAUACCCCGUAAAUAGGACUACAUCCUUCUUUUUA
This 67-nucleotide transfer RNA is filed under the name Conocephalus gladiatus. Its description in RNAcentral is "tRNA-Met". The record is from RNAcentral. Lineage: Eukaryota; Metazoa; Arthropoda; Insecta; Orthoptera; Tettigoniidae.